GCCGGGCGUGGAGACACGUGCCUGUAGUGCCAGCUACUUGGGAGGCUGAGGUGGGAGGAUCACUUGAGCCCAGGAGUUCUGGACUGUAGUGCACUAUUCCAAUCAGGUGUCUGCACUAAGUUUAGCAUCAUUAUGGUGACCUCCCGGGAGCAGGGGAUCACCAGGUUGCCUAAGGAGGGGUGAACCAGCCCAGGUCGGAAAUGGAGCAGGUCAAAACUCCCGUGCUGAUCAGUAGUGGGACGGCGCCUGUUAACAGCCACUGCACUCCAGCCUGGGCAACAUAGUGAGUGCCCGUCUCAA
Callithrix jacchus (white-tufted-ear marmoset) is the source of this 300-nucleotide unclassified non-coding RNA. It matches the Rfam family "Metazoan signal recognition particle RNA". From Rfam's summary of the family: The signal recognition particle (SRP) is a universally conserved ribonucleoprotein. It is involved in the co-translational targeting of proteins to membranes. The eukaryotic SRP consists of a 300-nucleotide 7S RNA and six proteins: SRPs 72, 68, 54, 19, 14, and 9. Lineage: Eukaryota; Metazoa; Chordata; Mammalia; Primates; Cebidae. The record is from Ensembl.